UGCUCCUUGGGUGACGAGUGGCGGACGGGUGAGUAAUGUCUGGGAAACUGCCCGAUGGAGGGGGAUAACUACUGGAAACGGUAGCUAAUACCGCAUAACGUCGCAAGACCAAAGAGGGGGACCUUCGGGCCUCUUGCCAUCGGAUGUGCCCAGAUGGGAUUAGCUAGUAGGUGGGGUAACGGCUCACCUAGGCGACGAUCCCUAGCUGGUCUGAGAGGAUGACCAGCCACACUGGAACUGAGACACGGUCCAGACUCCUACGGGAGGCAGCAGUGGGGAAUAUUGCACAAUGGGCGCAAGCCUGAUGCAGCCAUGCCGCGUGUAUGAAGAAGGCCUUCGGGUUGUAAAGUACUUUCAGCGAGGAGGAAGGCGUUGUGGUUAAUAACCGCAGCGAUUGACGUUACUCGCAGAAGAAGCACCGGCUAACUCCGUGCCAGCAGCCGCGGUAAUACGGAGGGUGCAAGCGUUAAUCGGAAUUACUGGGCGUAAAGCGCACGCAGGCGGUCUGUCAAGUCGGAUGUGAAAUCCCCGGGCUCAACCUGGGAACUGCAUCCGAAACUGGCAGGCUAGAGUCUUGUAGAGGGGGGUAGAAUUCCAGGU
Molecule: ribosomal RNA, 600 nt
Filed under: uncultured bacterium
Lineage: Bacteria
Description: bacterial SSU rRNA
Rfam family: Bacterial small subunit ribosomal RNA
Source: RNAcentral